This is a long non-coding RNA of Oncorhynchus tshawytscha (Chinook salmon), 375 nucleotides long. NCBI's taxonomy places the organism in Eukaryota, Metazoa, Chordata, Actinopteri, Salmoniformes, Salmonidae. The record is from Ensembl.
GAGCACCCAAUGACAGAGGAGAGGGAGGGCAGAGCACCCAAUGAAAGAGGAGAGGGAGGGCAGAGCACCCAAUGACAGAGGAGAGGGAGGUCAGAGCACCCAAUGAAAGAGGAGAGGGAGGGCAGAGAACCCAAUGACAGAGGAGAGGGAGGACAGAGCACCCAAUGAAAGAGGAGAGGGAGGUCAGAGCACCCAAUGACAGAGGAGAGAGAGGGCAGAGCACCCAAUGAAAGAGGAGAGGGAGGGCAGAGCACCCAAUGAAAGAGGAGAGGGAGGUCAGAGCACCCAAUGACAGAGGAGAGGGAGGGCAGAGCACCCAAUGAAAGAGGAGAGGGAGGUCAGAGCACCCAAUGAAAGAGGAGAGGGAGGUCAGAG